AUCUCCUACUUUGUCGUCAGUUGCAUCGAAUCGUGUCUGCAAUGCACUUGUACUUCUUCAGUGUGUUGCUUCACACCCUGAGACCAGGAUCCCGUUCUUGAAUGCUCACAUCCCACUGUACCUGUACCCGUUCCUAAAUACUACCAGCAAGACCAGACCUUUUGAGUACUUGAGGCUUACCAGCUUUGGUGUUGUUGGUGCUCUUGUGAAGGAGCGGAUCAGCAACGCCCCUAUAGCAGCCCAGCACAGCCGCUGAGCCAGGCCCGACCUACUUAACCCGACAGCUUUGCUGGGCCGCUUCGUGUCUCAAGCCGCGGCAGAGGGGGAGAUCCAGGCGGAGCGCGCCAUCUCCAUCGUCACGACUCGCCCUCCUGUCUGCGUCUCCCUGCCCCUUCUCCUCUAGCAGGAGGAGCACGAGCCAAGGCAUGCCGCCUCCGAUUCUGCAAUGCGCCUAAUGGCUACCUCCGCAGCAUUCCAUUCGAUCGUCUGUCCAAUCGAAUCCCUUGCUCCAGCCGCUAGGUACCAGCAGCAUUGCAUUGGUUUAUUUUAUUUAUAAUAGUGUGAUAAAACAGUGAGGUGUAUGCAGGUCAAUAACAAUAUAUGAUACUUUUGAUUGUAGUAUAGGUAAUCAGGCCUUUUUGGUGCAUAUAUCUAGCUCCGACUGGUUAUGUGGUUUCUCUAAUUAUUCUAAAUUAACCGAAUUAAUGUGACCUUGCUUAAAAUUUUAAUCGAGAGUAAACAUUCACAGAGACCUAAUUAGGAUUGAUUAAACUGCUCUUAUAGUAUAUAUGUUUGUUACUUCCUUUACAUGUCGUUCUUAUCUGCUCUUGUGAUUAACUACAUGAUUAUGUCAUGUGUACUUACAUAUUAUGCUUUUCUUUUUUAAUAUUAAAUCUUGGAGAAAGUUCUAUAGGUAGAGUAGGCUAAUUUUAUUUCCAGGUGCUGUAUAGGAUACUAUGGUUAAAGAUUGUUCUGAUAUAUAUUGAUGUUGCUGAUUAUCAAAAUCAAUGGAUGUUAUCUAGAGUGCUUCUCCUUCAGAUUUGAUGUACUAUGUCCUCCAGCUUAUAUUAGAUGAUUUCUUUCCACGGUUUUUGCUAAUUAUGGAUAUGUAUCUAAUAAUCUUAUUUUGGCAUAGACAAAUUACUCACCUAG
Aegilops tauschii subsp. strangulata is the source of this 1152-nucleotide long non-coding RNA. RefSeq lists it as uncharacterized. The record is from RefSeq and is a predicted model, not a curated record. Lineage: Eukaryota; Viridiplantae; Streptophyta; Magnoliopsida; Poales; Poaceae.